Molecule: unclassified non-coding RNA, 465 nt
Filed under: Hevea brasiliensis (rubber tree)
Lineage: Eukaryota; Viridiplantae; Streptophyta; Magnoliopsida; Malpighiales; Euphorbiaceae
Source: RNAcentral
GAGUGAAAAUCUGAAAAGGCACUCUUAGCAAAAUGAAAAAUGAAAACUUGUACAAAAGAGAGGAUGAAAACCCAUAAAGGGCGUCCUUUGAAAUCUUAUAGAAUGGAGGGAUAAGGAGUACUGAUGAAUAUGAAGUUCAAAAUGUAAUUGAUGGCCAUGGCACAAGAGUUCUCUUAAUAUUACUGGCAUUCAUGGAAAUGAGCGUCUUCAAAGUUAAUCAAAGGGAAUUCAGGAAGUUUUCUUAUCCUUUCCCUUAAAUGUUAGACCUCUUAUGUAUUUUUACUUUCUCAUUGUUGAAAUCCUAGAAUCAUAUAAAUUAUUAUACCUUGUGCAUCAUUUCAUUCUUCCUAUUAUAUCUUGUGCAUUAUUUCAAUCUUCCCAUUAUUUCUCGUACAUUAUUUUAAUCUUCUUAUUAUACCCUAAACAUAACUUAUUGCUUGGAAUAUGUGUUAUUUUCUUAUUAAU